RNAcentral lists this ribosomal RNA (261 nucleotides) under uncultured bacterium. RNAcentral's name for it is "partial 16S ribosomal RNA". It matches the Rfam family "Bacterial small subunit ribosomal RNA", at positions 524 to 780 of the family's 1533-position model. The record is from RNAcentral.
UACGAAGGGGGGCUAGCGUUGCUCGGAAUCACUGGGCGUAAAGCGCACGUAGGCGGCUUUCUAAGUCAGGGGGUGAAAUCCUGGAGCUCAACUCCAGAACUGCCUUUGAUACUGGAGAGCUUGAGUCCGGAAGAGGUGAGUGGAACUCCGAGUGUAGAGGUGAAAUUCGUAGAUAUUCGGAAGAACACCAGUGGCGAAGGCGGCUCACUGGUCCGGUACUGACGCUGAUGUGCGAAAAGCGUGGGGGAGCAAACAGGAUUA